UGCGUAACGCGUAUGCAACCUACCAUCAACAGGGGGAUAACACUGAGAAAUUGGUACUAAUACCCCAUAAUAUCUCAUGCGGCAUCGCAUGGGGUUGAGAACUCCGGUGGUUGAUGAUGGGCAUGCGUUGUAUUAGCUGGUUGGUGAGGUAACGGCUCACCAAGGCGACGAUACAUAGGGGGACUGAGAGGUUAACCCCCCACAUUGGUACUGAGACACGGACCAAACUCCUACGGGAGGCAGCAG
Molecule: ribosomal RNA, 246 nt
Filed under: uncultured bacterium
Lineage: Bacteria
Description: partial 16S ribosomal RNA
Rfam family: Bacterial small subunit ribosomal RNA
Source: RNAcentral